GCGAUUUCCCGUUUGACUGCAACAAUGGUACGUUCCUAAACCUUUAAAUUCCUCUCAAGCAUGGCCGACUUUGGCAGGUGGCAAAUAUGGCACUCCGUGAGGAUAGUUGGGAGGAUGAGUUGCAGGGACAGUUCUCGCCUUUAUCCGCUACUUCAUUCGAGGUCAAAGAAGAAAGUGAGGACACACAUGGAAGCUCCAACACGGGGAUACUAGACUUAAGUGACGAAGUCUUUAUUCUCAUCCUACGACGGCUGGAUCCCACGUCUCUCUUGAGAGUUGGAAGCACCUGCCGAACCCUGUUUCGAGUUUGUUCCUGCAACUCACUGUGGACAAAACACUUCCAGACCUCAUUUGGAGUUCCGUUUGCCACCGCCACCUGCUCCAUCUCUGCCAAGAGUGCCUUCCGUUUGGUCUUCAUGUGGCGAACUCUCUUUAGAAACCUGCAUUGUAACCGGUCUCUCCAGGAGAAGCUCUUUGCAGAGAUCCCAUUCCCGCCACACAAGUACUGGGUCCAAUGGCUGGUUCUGGAAGAGACUGUUCCUCUGCCCUCCGUGAGACUGCCUUGCACUGACAUAGAGAGCUUAUGGGGAAUUGAGAAGGAAGUGUUGGAAGGUAAAGUACAAGAGAAAGAUGAGGAUGAGGGCAGAAUGCUGAAGUUCGAAUGGAAGGAGCUGUAUGCCUUGGCCCUUGAGCACCAUGGAAGCAUUGCCAAGGUUUUCCAGCAUGUCCUCAACCAACAGAGCAAUGACCACUGUGAGCUGGAGGCCAUGUUCAGUCAGUACAGCCAGUGUCGGUUCCAGUGGCUCUUCACCUACUGGUUGUUCCGCCAGCCAGUGCCCUUCGACAGGCAGCUCAGGGCCAUCUACCUGCAGUGGCAGAAGCACAGCAAGAGGAAGGUGGUGUCCUGGGGAGGCACGUUGUGUGACAUCAGGUACCUGGCCUCAUUGCAUCACAUCACUUCCGACUACUGGCGGGGCAAGCUGGCCCACGGUGACGAGACUGUGGGAAUUCAGACGGUGGAAAACUAUUUCUCCAUGUGCAAAUCCCUGGUGGCCUGGAUUUUAGGGCGUGACUGGGGCAGAUUGAAAAGCAAAAAGGUGUACGAGGACACGCUGGAGGGUGUGUACCUGCUGCUGAGGAGGGAGAUGCAGGAGACCCUGGUGGAGCACGAGAGGUUCUGGCAGGUGGCCAAGGUCCAGAUGACCCGAGUGUGCACCCUGGAGGAGACUGCUGGAAACUAUGUCAACUGGAAGAUGACUGAAACACUGCCCUACUACAAGCUGUACAUGGUGUCAGGCAACAUGGUUUACCUAGACCACGUGCAGGGCUUCCUCCACAGGAAGAGGCUGGUCCAUGACUGGUUCUUCAUGAAGGAGAACACCUGGGUCAGACAGCUGCUGCCUGGGGACCUCUACCCUCUGCUGGAGUUUGACACUAAGAUCUCCCAAGAUGAUGACCUCAUCAAGUAUUAUGAAUCAGAAAUGGAACCGUGACUCCGAAACCGCAACACGUACUGAACUGUGGGGCUUGGUGAACUGUUACGCCCCUAAUAGCAGGGUCUUACCGUCAGCUCAAGGCUCCUUCAGGUCCAGCAUGGGGAGCCGGACCCCGUCCUCAAGACACUGCUCCACCUUCUCCUGCAGGCUGGGGGAACCAGGGAGAGACACAGCGUUAGGGCACCGUCUGUCAUCAACACAACCCCAACUUACCAGCUCUGACUGUUUUAACACACUGUUGCAACGAGGAGGAGGAGUUGCAGAGGAAGAUUGUAUUUCCGACACACCUCUGUACAGCAGCCACCAGCUCCUUCUCCCGCUUGCACUGGGUCUCAAUCAGGUCCUCCUUCGCCUGCAGAACGGCGCAGCCCUCCUCCAGACUCUUCUCCAGACAAGCCACUGUGUCCUGCAGACCCUGGGCCUUCCCCUGACAGUCCUCCAGCUGAUGAACACAUAUAGGAAAAGAAAAUUAGGACUAUACACACACUAUCUGUGACUAUCCCAACCACACCUCAGAGAACACCACAGGAACAUGUGUACACAAAGACCAGUAACUAAGACUGACCAGGCCAAAGGAAUAUCAGUACCCAAUACACACAAACCACUAAAUAAAGUU
Oncorhynchus gorbuscha (pink salmon) is the source of this 2112-nucleotide RNA transcript. RefSeq lists it as uncharacterized. The record is from RefSeq and is a predicted model, not a curated record. The transcript is spliced from 9 exons. NCBI's taxonomy places the organism in Eukaryota, Metazoa, Chordata, Actinopteri, Salmoniformes, Salmonidae.